Molecule: transfer RNA, 82 nt
Filed under: Danio rerio (zebrafish)
Lineage: Eukaryota; Metazoa; Chordata; Actinopteri; Cypriniformes; Danionidae
Description: tRNA-Ser (AGA) (tRNA-Ser-AGA-111-1)
Rfam family: tRNA
About the family: Transfer RNA (tRNA) molecules are approximately 80 nucleotides in length. Their secondary structure includes four short double-helical elements and three loops (D, anti-codon, and T loops).
Source: Rfam by way of RNAcentral
GUAGUCGUGGCCGAGUGGUUAAGGUGAUGGACUAGAAAUCCAUUGGGGUCUCCCAGCGCAGGUUCGAAUCCUGCCGACUACG